Molecule: ribosomal RNA, 1057 nt
Filed under: Xystocheir solenofurcata
Lineage: Eukaryota; Metazoa; Arthropoda; Diplopoda; Polydesmida; Xystodesmidae
Description: partial large subunit ribosomal RNA
Source: RNAcentral
GAUUAUGUAAAUGUUGUUUUUUAUUAUUAUGAUAUAUUAGAUUGGUAUUUUGUGUGAAGAUUUUGAUUUUUUUAUAGUGUAUGAGUACUUUUUAGGAAAUAUUUUAUUUUUAUUAAAUUUAGGUUUUUAUUACCUUUUGUAUUAGGGGUUUUUAAUGUUUAUGAAUAUUAAUUUUUUCUCGAUGAGUAUUGGGCUAUUUAAUUUUAUUUUAGUCUCGUUGUAUAGAGAUUAUUAAGGGGUAGAUAGUUAUGAAAUAUUAUUCAAAAUAUUUUAUAUCUAGUUUUUCUAGAGCUAUAAUGGAGUGUAUUAUUAUUUGGGAUGUAAGUAGGGAUUAGCUUAUUUACAGUUUAUAUUCUUAUUUUAUUAAAGUUUAUUUGUGAAGUUAAAGGUUCUUGUUAUUAUGGUGUUAUUACUGGAUAAAGGUUUUUUAUAAUUUUUUUGUUUUAUGUUAAGAUGGAAAAUAUCACAUUAAUCUUUAAUGUUGAUGAUAUAAUGAUAAUAUUAGUAAUGUUGGUAUUUAUAAUUUAAGUUUUAGAUUAUUAAAUUAGUUAUAAGGGCUAUUUAUUAGUGAUGAAGAAUUAGGCAAAAAUUAACCUUUGACUGUUUAGCAAAGACAUUGUUUUUUGUUUUUUAGUAGAAAAUAAUUUCUGCCCGCUGUUUUUAAUGAAGGGCUGCAGUAUUUUGACUGUAUGAAGGUAGCAUAAUCAUUAGCUUUUUAAUUGGGAGCUGGUAUGAAGGGGAAACAGGGGUUUGCUAUUUUAUCUUUAAAUAAUGAAUUUUAUUUUUAUGUGAAAAAUCAUAAGUGUAAUAAUGGGACAAGAAGACCCUAGUAAGUUUAAUUUUUUAUUUGUGAUGCAUAUAUAGGAAUAAAAAUUUAUGUAAUUUAUUAUAUAAAGUUUGACUGGGGCGGUAGAUUAUUAGACGUAGUUUAUUUUUUAACUUAUUUGAUGGCGAUUGGAGGGACCUAAGUGGUUUAGUUGAAUGAAAAAUUACUGUAGGGAUAACAGCGUAAUUUUUUUUAAGAGUUCUUAUUAACAGAAAAGUUUGCGACCUCGAU